UGCCAGCAGCCGCGGUAAUACGGAGGGUGCGAGCGUUAAUCGGAAUUACUGGGCGUAAAGAGUACGUAGGCGGCAAGGUAAGUUGAAUGUGAAAUCUUCGGGCUCAACCUGAAAACUGCAUUCAAAACUGCCUAGCUAGAGUACGGUAGAGGAUAGCGGAAUUUCCUGUGUAGCGGUGGAAUGUGUAGAUACAGGAAGGAACACUAGUUGCGAAGGCGGCUAUCUGGACCGAUACUGACGCUGAGGUACGAAAGCUUGGGUAGCAAACAGGAUUAGAUA
This 279-nucleotide ribosomal RNA is filed under the name uncultured bacterium. Its description in RNAcentral is "partial 16S ribosomal RNA". It matches the Rfam family "Bacterial small subunit ribosomal RNA", at positions 506 to 784 of the family's 1533-position model. The record is from RNAcentral.